AAGAAUGCUUGCAUGUUCGUGGAAGGGACAGUGUCGAGCUAGCCGAGAAAGGGUGGCAGUGACUCAGACGGAAGCCACGCCCACGUGAGGAGAUCCAACAUGUAUCUCGGUUUACUAAAUUACAACACAACAAUUUAAACCAGCGUUAAGCAGGGAAGAGCAGAGAUCUAAGUGCGGACGAUGCGCCCCGUAUUCGCGGCGCAAAUGAAAUUUGGGCGGUGCAGCGUUGCAUGUUAGAAAUUUAAUUGAAGAAUCAAAUGAUGAGUAGAAUGAUGGGUGGCAGCGAUUCAGCGAAGUGAAGCACUCAAGGCUCAUGUGGAGUACUUGCUUCAUUUCAAUUGACUUCAUGUCCCAAUAUAAAUUGAUUUGAAAAUGCUCGAUGGAUUGAAGAAUCAAAUGAUGAGUAUGAGUUUCUAUUCAAAAUUGUUUGUUGACGAUUAAUAGAUCUUCGUGUUUAUUGAUCAGAACAGUUUAUCUUAUAAAUCACUCUAUAAAUAUCUUUUCUGCAAAUAAUCGAUUAAAACAAAGGUUGUUUAAUCAUCGAACUAUAUAAAACAGAUGAAUGAAAUUGAUAAAA
Malus domestica (apple) is the source of this 577-nucleotide long non-coding RNA. RefSeq lists it as uncharacterized. Lineage: Eukaryota; Viridiplantae; Streptophyta; Magnoliopsida; Rosales; Rosaceae. The record is from RefSeq and is a predicted model, not a curated record.